UAAGGAUUUAAGUUAAAAAAACUAUUAACCUUCAAAGUUGAAAAUAGAAUAUAUUCUAAGCCUUAG
This 66-nucleotide transfer RNA is filed under the name Oberea diversipes. Its description in RNAcentral is "tRNA-Trp". Lineage: Eukaryota; Metazoa; Arthropoda; Insecta; Coleoptera; Cerambycidae. The record is from RNAcentral.